This 105-nucleotide ribosomal RNA is filed under the name uncultured bacterium. RNAcentral's name for it is "partial 16S ribosomal RNA". It matches the Rfam family "Bacterial small subunit ribosomal RNA", at positions 1379 to 1482 of the family's 1533-position model. The record is from RNAcentral.
CCUUGUACACACCGCCCGUCACACCAUGGGAGUUGGUUUACCUUAAGGCGGUACCCUAACCUGCAAAGGAAGGAGCCGACCACGGUAGGAUCAAUGACUGGGGUG